CAGAUCGCAUGUGUUAUGAGAAGCUGAACAUUGAAGGUACGGAGCGUGGCAACUGUGGUCAGGACAGCAGCUCACACAGCUGGAUUCAGUGCAAUAAACAGGAUGUGUUGUGCGGAUUUUUAUUAUGCACUAAUAUCACAGCGAAACCACGGUAUGGAGACUUAAAUGGAGAAAUCACAAGUCUUACCAUCUACCAUCAGAACAAGUACCUGGAUUGUUGUGGGGGUCAUGCAG
Long non-coding RNA from Sinocyclocheilus anshuiensis, 234 nucleotides. RefSeq lists it as uncharacterized. Lineage: Eukaryota; Metazoa; Chordata; Actinopteri; Cypriniformes; Cyprinidae. The record is from RefSeq and is a predicted model, not a curated record. The transcript has 3 exons.